Molecule: ribosomal RNA, 162 nt
Filed under: uncultured bacterium
Lineage: Bacteria
Description: partial 16S ribosomal RNA
Rfam family: Bacterial small subunit ribosomal RNA
Source: RNAcentral
UGGGGAAUAUUGCGCAAUGGGCGAAAGCCUGACGCAGCAACGCCGCGUGAGUGAUGAAGGCCUUCGGGUUGUAAAGCUCUUUCGGCCGGGAAGAAGGGUCAUUUGUCGAAUAGGCAUUUUGAUUUGAUGGUACCGGAAGAAGAAGCACCGGCUAACUUCGUG